CACGCCGUAAACGAUGCGCACUAGGUGACGGGACCUCUCACGGUCUCGCCGCCGAAGCAAAAGUGAUUAGUGCGCCGCCUGGGGAGUACGGCCGCAAGGCUAAAACUCAAAGGAAUUGACGGGGGCUCACACAAGCGGUGGAGCAUGUGGCUUAAUUCGAAGCAACGCGAAGAACCUUACCUGGGCUUGACAUGCUUGGAUGCUUUAUGGGGAUAACUCAUAAAGUUGCUCUUCGGAGUGAAACUUGCACAGGUGU
RNAcentral lists this ribosomal RNA (256 nucleotides) under uncultured bacterium. Its description in RNAcentral is "partial 16S ribosomal RNA". It matches the Rfam family "Bacterial small subunit ribosomal RNA", at positions 796 to 1041 of the family's 1533-position model. The record is from RNAcentral.